Molecule: long non-coding RNA, 857 nt
Organism: Puntigrus tetrazona (Sumatra barb)
Lineage: Eukaryota; Metazoa; Chordata; Actinopteri; Cypriniformes; Cyprinidae
Exons: 3
Source: RefSeq, a predicted model, not a curated record
AGUAAGCUGACAUCGUGUUUCUUAUUUUAACUUGUGCCCUCAACAUCUCUUAUUUUAUUUAAAACUUCAUGUAAAUGAGGAAGAGUUCACAGUAAAAUCAGAAGUGUAAUUAAAAGCAUUAAAAGUUAUUCAUUCCCAAAGAGUUGAAUUAACAAUCUACAGCGUUAAACAUGUUCUUGUUCAGCGUUGUUACAUGGAGUAAUUUUUGUGUAAAAGUGUAAAAAAUGAUCUGACUCUCUUCAAGAACUGCUGCAUCGUUGAGCGAUGGCGCAAUUUUAUCUUCGUGCCACCAAAGCGAUCCUCUCACCUCCAUCCUCACCGAGGCCUGGUUUUACUACGAAUCUGAAGCAGCCACAUUUGAACAGGGUUUUCUACUCAGAGGAGCUAUCUUGUCAAAUGGCAAGAAGAACUCAUUGAUUGCACAGAGGAGAUGAUCAUUGAUUUAAUGAUUUUAUGUAUUUUAUGUUUCCGACAACACUUACUGAAUGUGACUGAUUAUUUAACCCUUACACAUCUGGUAUGUGCUUUAAAGUUGUUAAAUAAACGUCAAAAUUUAUACAUCUGUCUGAAGAUGCUUGAUUUUAUAUGUGAUCUUGUACAUUAACACCACAUUUUUAUUUUGCACCUGUAAGCCCCUGACCACCAAAUUUGGUGAGGUUAGCUCAGGUUGUCCACUCAGGAAAUACAGCAGGCAGGUUUAGGCGGAACAGAACUUAUUAUUUUGUAAUAAGGUGAGGGAGAGGGAAACCAUAACUAAAGCUGUUCCUUCUUUGCGGGCUGGUCUCUGGGCAGCAAAUCAAUUUCACUGAGGGGAAGACAGAAUAUGUCCAGGCUACUCACGGCCACACUGCACUUCU